This 253-nucleotide ribosomal RNA is filed under the name uncultured bacterium. RNAcentral's name for it is "partial 16S ribosomal RNA". It matches the Rfam family "Bacterial small subunit ribosomal RNA", at positions 524 to 776 of the family's 1533-position model. The record is from RNAcentral.
UACGUAGGGGGCAAGCGUUGUCCGGAUUUAUUGGGCGUAAAGAGCGUGUAGGCGGCCAUACAGGUCCGUUGUGAAAACUGGAGGCUUAACCUCCAGACGUCGAUGGAAACCGUAUGGCUAGAGUCCGGAAGAGGAGAGUGGAAUUCCUGGUGUAGCGGUGAAAUGCGCAGAUAUCAGGAAGAACACCCGUGGCGAAGGCGGCUCUCUGGGACGGUACUGACGCUGAGACGCUAAAGCGUGGGGAGCGAACAGG